GGAGCAGGCGGCACUAAGGGUCUGUGGUGAAAGAUCGAAGCUUAACUUCGGUAAGCCAUGGAAACCGUAGAGCUAGAGUGUGUGAGAGGAUCGUGGAAUUCCAUGUGUAGCGGUGAAAUGCGUAGAUAUAUGGAGGAACACCAGUGGCGAAGGCGACGAUCUGGCGCAUAACUGACGCUCAGUCCCGAAAGCUGGGGAGCAAAUA
This 205-nucleotide ribosomal RNA is filed under the name uncultured bacterium. Its description in RNAcentral is "partial 16S ribosomal RNA". It matches the Rfam family "Bacterial small subunit ribosomal RNA", at positions 568 to 774 of the family's 1533-position model. The record is from RNAcentral.